AGGGUUUUGAUUAUGGCUCCGGAUUGAACGCUGGCAGGAUGCUUUACACGCACAAGUCGAACAGCGGCACAGUUUCGGUCUGGUGGCAGUGGCGAACUGGUGGAAGUAAUGUAUCGGAACGUGCCUAGUAGCGGGGGAUAACUACGCGGCGUAACUGUCUGCAUACGCCUUCCAGGGAAAGCGGGGGACCUUCGGGCUCACGCUAUUAGAAGCGGCCGAUGUCAGGUUAGCUGAUUGGUGAGGUAACGGCUCACCAAGGCGACGAUCCGUAGCUGGUUUGAAGGACGACCAGCCACACUGGGACUGAGACACGGCCCAGACUCCUACGGGAGGCAGCAGUGGGGGUACGGACAAUGGGGGAAACCUGAUCCAGCCAUCCCGCGUGUGCGAUGAAGGCCUUCCGGGUUGUAAAGCACUUUUUGGCGGAAAGAAACGGCACGGGAUAAUACGUGCAACUGACGGCUCUGCCAAGGAAUAAGCACCAGUAACUACGUGCCAGCAGCCGCGGUAAUACGGCGGGUGCAGCGUUAAUCGGAAUUACUGGGCGUAAAGCGUGCAUGAGCGGUUCAGAAGAAGAGUCUCUUGAAAUCCAAGAGCUUAACUGGAACUGCAUUUUAACUACCGAACUAAAUUAAUAAUGUCAAGAGGGAGGUGGAAUUCCGCGUGUAGCAGUGAAAUGCGUAGAUAUGCGGAGGAACACCGAUGGCGAAGGCAGCUCUGGGAUGUACAACUCAUGCACGGCGUGAGGGAGCAAACAGGAUUAGAUACUGGUGGUCCACGCCCUAAACGAUAUCAACUAGCUGUUGGGGCCUUCGGGCCUUGAUGGCCGGCUAACACGUGAAGUUAAACCCGCCUGGAGAAUACGGUCGCAAAGAUUAAAACUCAAAGGAAUUGACGAGGGGACCCACACAAGCGGUGGAUGAUGUGGAUUAAUUCGAUGCAACGCAAAAACCUUACCUACCCUUGACAUAUCUGGAAUCCCGAAGAGAUUUUGGGAGUGCUCAUAGAGAACGGAACACAGUGCUGCAUGGCUGUCGCCAGCUCGUGUCGUGAGAUGUUGGAGUUAAGUCCGCAACGAGCGCAACCCUUGUCAUUAGUUGCUACGAAGGGCACUCUAAUGAGACUGCCCGGUGACAAACCGGAGGAAGGUGGGGAUGACGUCAAGUCCUCAUGGCCUAUGGGUGAGCUGCACGUCAUACAAUGGUCGGGACAGAGGGUCGCCAACCCGCGAAGGAGCCAAUCCAAACGAUCGUAGUGGAUCGCAGUCUGCAACUCGACUGCGUGAAGUCGGAAUCGCUAGUAGUGGGAUCAGCAUAUGCUGGUGAAUACGUUCCCGGGUCUUGCUUCACACCGCCCGUCACACCAUGGGAGUGGGUUUUACCAGAAGUAGUUAGCCUAACCGUAAGGAAGGCAGUCCUGCAGUAGGUUAUGACUGGGGUGAAGUCGUAACAAGGUAG
RNAcentral lists this ribosomal RNA (1457 nucleotides) under uncultured Bordetella sp. RNAcentral's name for it is "partial 16S-23S ribosomal RNA intergenic spacer". It matches the Rfam family "Bacterial small subunit ribosomal RNA". Lineage: Bacteria; Pseudomonadati; Pseudomonadota; Betaproteobacteria; Burkholderiales; Alcaligenaceae. The record is from RNAcentral.